Molecule: transfer-messenger RNA, 394 nt
Filed under: Candidatus Kaiserbacteria bacterium
Lineage: Bacteria; Candidatus Kaiseribacteriota
Also listed under: 1 other name
Rfam family: transfer-messenger RNA
About the family: Bacterial tmRNA, also known as 10Sa RNA or SsrA, is named for its dual tRNA and mRNA-like properties. Its role is to liberate the mRNA from a stalled ribosome.
Source: RNAcentral
GGGGAUGCUUGGCAUCGACGGUUGGUCGUGCUGAUUGUGUGCAGUGUCGAAACUGGUAAUCAAUUCGUUAAGAGGUUCCAAUUUGUAUUUGCAAAAAAAGCAAUACUAAGUCCUUACGCUAACGCGUUCGGACUCGCUCCCGCAUUCGCGUAAUUACGCCUGCCGGACGAUGCUUCAUCAGUAAACGUCUCAUACGCUGACUGAGGUAGAAUAGACACGAGACUUUGGCUACCUUUGCCGUUGUCGUAGGUAACUAAGAAUUAAACAACUCGAGUCAUUUGUGUUUUGUUUGUUCUCAAGCAAAUGACUUUAAACUCAAAGAACUAACUACGCACUGUAGACUCACAAUCACACCCUAAUUCGGACGGGGGUUCGAUUCCCCCCAUCUCCACAC